UACGUAGGCAGCAAGCGUUGUUCGGAGUUACUGGGCGUAAAGGGUGUGUAGGCGGUUCCUUAAGUUUGCUGUGAAAUCUCCCGGCUUAACCGGGAGGGUGCGGUGAAUACUGAGGGACUAGAGUACGGGAGAGGGAUGUAGAAUUCCAGGUGUAGCGGUGAAAUGCGUAGAUAUCUGGAGGAAUACCGGUGGCGAAGGCGGCAUCCUGGACUAUAACUGACGCUGAGGCGCGAAAGCUAGGGGAGCAAACGGG
Molecule: ribosomal RNA, 253 nt
Filed under: uncultured bacterium
Lineage: Bacteria
Description: partial 16S ribosomal RNA
Rfam family: Bacterial small subunit ribosomal RNA
Source: RNAcentral